RNAcentral lists this ribosomal RNA (433 nucleotides) under uncultured bacterium. Its description in RNAcentral is "partial 16S ribosomal RNA". It matches the Rfam family "Bacterial small subunit ribosomal RNA", at positions 29 to 507 of the family's 1533-position model. The record is from RNAcentral.
AACGAACGCUGGCGGCAUGCCUAACACAUGCAAGUCGAACGAGACCUUCGGGUCUAGUGGCGCACGGGUGCGUAACGCGUGGGAACCUGCCCUUAGGUUCGGAAUAACUCCCCGAAAGGAGUGCUAAUACCGGAUAAUGUCUUCGGACCAAAGAUUUAUCGCCUUUGGAUGGGCCCGCGUUGGAUUAGCUAGUUGGUAGGGUAAAAGCCUACCAAGGCGACGAUCCAUAGCUGGUCUGAGAGGAUGAUCAGCCACACUGGGACUGAGACACGGCCCAGACUCCUACGGGAGGCAGCAGUGGGGAAUAUUGGACAAUGAGCGAAAGCCUGAUCCAGCAAUGCCGCGUGAGUGAUGAAGGCCUUAGGGUUGUAAAGCUCUUUUACCCGGGAUGAUAAUGACAGUACCGGGAGAAUAAGCUCCGGCUAACUCCGUG